Molecule: ribosomal RNA, 497 nt
Filed under: uncultured bacterium
Lineage: Bacteria
Description: partial 16S ribosomal RNA
Rfam family: Bacterial small subunit ribosomal RNA
Source: RNAcentral
GAUGAACGCUGGCGGCGUGCCUAAUACAUGCAAGUCGAGCGAGCAGACGAGGAGCUUGCUCCUCUGACGUUAGCGGCGGACGGGUGAGUAACACGUGGAUAACCUACCUAUAAGACUGGGAUAACUUCGGGAAACCGGAGCUAAUACCGGAUAAUAUAUUGAACCGCAUGGUUCAAUAGUGAAAGACGGUUUUGCUGUCACUUAUAGAUGGAUCCGCGCCGCAUUAGCUAGUUGGUAAGGUAACGGCUUACCAAGGCAACGAUGCGUAGCCGACCUGAGAGGGUGAUCGGCCACCCUGGAACUGAGACACGGUCCAGACUCCUACGGGAGGCAGCAGUAGGGAAUCUUCCGCAAUGGGCGAAAGCCUGACGGAGCAACGCCGCGUGAGUGAUGAAGGUCUUCGGAUCGUAAAACUCUGUUAUUAGGGAAGAACAAAUGUGUAAGUAACUAUGCACGUCUUGACGGUACCUAAUCAGAAAGCCACGGCUAACUACGUG